CGUGUAGGCGGACAAUCAAGUCCGGUGUGAAAGAUCUCGGCUUAACCCAGGAAGUGCAUUUGAAACUCCCUGACUUGAGUACGGGAGAGGAGGGGGGAAUUCCCGGUGUAGAGGUGAAAUUCGUAGAUAUCGGGAGGAAUACCGGUGGCGAAGGCGCCCCUCUGGACCGAUACUGACGCUGAGACGCGAAAGCGUGGGGAGCAAACA
Molecule: ribosomal RNA, 207 nt
Filed under: uncultured bacterium
Lineage: Bacteria
Description: partial 16S ribosomal RNA
Rfam family: Bacterial small subunit ribosomal RNA
Source: RNAcentral